GGAGGGAGCGAGCGUUGUUCGGAAUUACUGGGCGUAAAGCGCGCGUAGGCGGUCGAGUAAGUCGGGUGUGAAAUUCCGGGGCUCAACCCCGUGGACUGCACUCGAUACUGCUCGACUCGAGAGAGGUAGGGGCGAGUGGAAUUCCCGGUGUAGCGGUGGAAUGCGUAGAUAUCGGGAAGAACACCGGUGGCGAAGGCGGCUCGCUGGGCCUCAUCUGACGCUGAAGCGCGAAAGCGUGGGGAGCAAACAGGGAUUAGAUACCCUGGUAGUCCACGCCGUAAACGAUGGGUACUAGGUGUUGGGAGGAUUGACCCCUUUCAGUGCCGACGCUAACGCAUUAAGUACCCCGCCUGGGGGAGUACGGCCGCAAGGCUG
This 375-nucleotide ribosomal RNA is filed under the name uncultured organism. Its description in RNAcentral is "partial 16S ribosomal RNA". It matches the Rfam family "Bacterial small subunit ribosomal RNA", at positions 527 to 896 of the family's 1533-position model. The record is from RNAcentral.